RNAcentral lists this ribosomal RNA (255 nucleotides) under Clostridioides difficile. Its description in RNAcentral is "partial 23S ribosomal RNA". It matches the Rfam family "Bacterial large subunit ribosomal RNA", at positions 2432 to 2686 of the family's 2925-position model. Lineage: Bacteria; Bacillati; Bacillota; Clostridia; Peptostreptococcales; Peptostreptococcaceae. The record is from RNAcentral.
CGUGGAAGGGCCAUCGCUCAACGGAUAAAAGCUACCCUGGGGAUAACAGGCUUAUCUCCCCCAAGAGUCCACAUCGACGGGGAGGUUUGGCACCUCGAUGUCGGCUCAUCACAUCCUGGGGCUGUAGGAGGUCCCAAGGGUUGGGCUGUUCGCCCAUUAAAGUGGUACGCGAGCUGGGUUCAGAACGUCGUGAGACAGUUCGGUCCCUAUCCGUCGCAGGCGUAGGAAAUUUGAGAAGACCUGUCCUUAGUACGA